CCUACGGGAGGCAGCAGUGGGGAAUAUUGGACAAUGGGCGAAAGCCUGAUCCAGCAAUGCCGCGUGAGUGAUGAAGGCCUUAGGGUUGUAAAGCUCUUUUACCCGGGAUGAUAAUGACAGUACCGGGAGAAUAAGCUCCGGCUAACUCCGUGCCAGCAGCCGCGGUAAUACGGAGGGAGCUAGCGUUAUUCGGAAUUACUGGGCGUAAAGCGCACGUAGGCGGCUUUGUAAGUAAGAGGUGAAAGCCUGGUGCUCAACACCAGAACUGCCUUUUAGACUGCAUCGCUUGAAUCCAGGAGAGGUGAGUGGAAUUCCGAGUGUAGAGGUGAAAUUCGUAGAUAUUCGGAAGAACACCAGUGGCGAAGGCGGCUCACUGGACUGGUAUUGACGCUGAGGUGCGAAAGCGGGGGGAGCAAACAGGAUUAGAUACCCUGGUAGUCCACGCCGUAAACGAUGAUAACUAGCUGUCGGGGUUCUUAGAACUUCGGUGGCGCAGCUAACGCAUUAAGUUAUCCGCCUGGGGAGUACGGCCGCAAGGUUAAAACUCAAAAUGAAUUGACGGCUAGACUGCCAGAGACACAGGGAGUAGG
This 590-nucleotide ribosomal RNA is filed under the name uncultured bacterium. RNAcentral's name for it is "bacterial SSU rRNA". It matches the Rfam family "Bacterial small subunit ribosomal RNA", at positions 338 to 945 of the family's 1533-position model. The record is from RNAcentral.